This 1466-nucleotide long non-coding RNA is filed under the name Homo sapiens (human). RNAcentral's name for it is "non-protein coding lnc-ARRDC2-3:1". Lineage: Eukaryota; Metazoa; Chordata; Mammalia; Primates; Hominidae. The record is from RNAcentral.
UUGGUGGGCAGUGGCCUUUCAGACCCUUACCUGUCCUUUGCAGCAGCCAUGAACGGGCUGGCAGGGCCUCUCCAUGGACUGGCAAAUCAGGAAGUGCUUGUCUGGCUAACACAGCUGCAGAAGGAAGUUGGCAAAGAUGUGUCAGAUGAGAAGUUAUGAGACUACAUCUGGAACACACUCAACUCAGGACGGGCUGUUCCAGGCUAUGGCCAUGCAGUACUAAGGAAGACUGAUCCACGAUAUACCUGUCAGCGAGAGUUUGCUCUGAAACACCUGCCUAAUGACCCCAUGUUUAAGUUGGUUGCUCAGCUAUGCAAGAUUGUGCCCAAUGUCCUCUUAGAGCAGGGUAAGGCCAAGAAUCCUUGGCCCAAUGUAGAUGCUCACAGUGGGGUGCUGCUCCAGUAUUAUGGCAUGAUGGAGAUGAAUUACUACACAGUCCUGUUUGGGGUGUCACGAGCAUUGGGUGUACUGGCACAGCUCAUCUGGAGCCGAGCCUUAGGCUUCCCUCUAGAAAGGCCCAAGUCCAUGAGCACAGAGGGUCUGAUGAAGUUUGUGGACUCUAAGUCAGGGUAAAACUGGAGACUGGGGGAAAGUGACUACCAGAAAGUGAGGAAGCCUAAAUAAAAAGUAUACUUUUGUUUCAGGGGGCCUUUAAAGACUUAAGAUUAAAUUAUAUCUGAGGCACUGAUAAUAUGUUUGAGGUUAAAAUAUAAAUUAAGACUUUAAAAGAUGAAAAAUGGUCCCUUCUUCCCUAAUCAGCUCCUUUCCCCUGCCUGGUAUGAGUUGCCCAUCACAGGCAUGGUCCUGGAGGAUGACCAGGACUAAUGCAUGUGGUAUGAGUAGGUUUGGCCCCCUCACUAUCUCUAGAGUGAGAAUCUGGCUCCUGUUUCCAUGGCUCAAAGCCGGUUGCAGAGAAUCUGCAGUCACUUCGGAGCUUUAGCUUCUUCUCUGCCAAGCCCUCAAUAAGCCAGCAAACCAGGACUCUGCCCCUUCUGUUUCCAUAGGAAUCAUGUUGGAUAGUCAGCUGUACCAAGCCCCUUGGCCUUCCCAUGCACACAAACACCUCCUAGCAAGACCUGUUGGUUAGCUGGACAUGCUUUGGCAAUUUUUUUAUACUGCCAAGUGACCAUAAAGGCAUGGCAUUUGUUGUGACUGGCACCCAAUGUUUGAUUUUUUUUUUAAACUAUCCAAUUAAAAUUAAGGUCUGGGAGUGUUCUGUUUCCCAUUACUUUAAUACUCACCCCCCUCCCAGACUUUCUACACCUGUUUCACCUCAGGCUGAGGAUGUUCUGGACCUCCCCCUCUUAGUCCCUACUAGAGACCUCUCAACAGAUCUGUGGGCCCAGUCAUUGGGUUUUAUCAGUGCUUAAUGUGAACUAAGUUUUUUACUUCCAACAGAAUACAAGCCACUACCUUCUGACCUCCCCACCCCCCACCAACCCCCAGCUUUUAAUAUGCUGUGGGGC